Immersiella caudata is the source of this 91-nucleotide non-coding RNA. The record is from the annotation of a GenBank genome assembly. Lineage: Eukaryota; Fungi; Ascomycota; Sordariomycetes; Sordariales; Lasiosphaeriaceae.
UCUUCCGUAGUAUAGUGGUCAGUAUGUGAGCUUGUCAUCCUCGAUGAGGGAGACUUCGCUCGAGACCCGGGUUCAAUUCCCGGCGGGAGAG